CUGCGGUGAUGUCUUUCUUAGGACACCUUUGGAUUUACCGUAAAAAGUACUUUUUGGUUUUUUGAGACAGG
Fukomys damarensis (Damara mole-rat) is the source of this 71-nucleotide non-coding RNA. Lineage: Eukaryota; Metazoa; Chordata; Mammalia; Rodentia; Bathyergidae. The record is from Rfam.